GGAGUCGGCCGGACAGCCGCGCCGCCUGCGGGCGGGGAGGAAAGUCCGGGCUCCACAGGGCAGGGUGCCAGGUAACGCCUGGGCGGCGCGAGCCGACGGAAAGUGCCACAGAAAACAGACCGCCAAAGCGCCCUCCGGGGCGCCGGCAAGGGUGAAAAGGUGCGGUAAGAGCGCACCGCGCCGGUGGCAACACUCGGCGGCACGGUAAACCCCACCCGGAGCAAGACCAAAUAGGGGAGCAAUGGCGCGGCCCGCGCCGCUCCCGGGUAGGUCGCUCGAGGCGCACGGCGACGUGCGCCCCAGAUGAAUGGCUGUCCACGACAGAACCCGGCUUACAGGCCGACUCCCCCA
RNAcentral lists this RNase P RNA (351 nucleotides) under Thioalbus denitrificans. Its description in RNAcentral is "Ectothiorhodospiraceae bacterium Su4 Bacterial RNase P class A". It matches the Rfam family "Bacterial RNase P class A". Rfam says of the family: Ribonuclease P (RNase P) is a ubiquitous endoribonuclease, found in archaea, bacteria and eukarya as well as chloroplasts and mitochondria. Lineage: Bacteria; Pseudomonadati; Pseudomonadota; Gammaproteobacteria; Chromatiales; Ectothiorhodospiraceae. The record is from Rfam by way of RNAcentral.